Non-coding RNA from Podarcis lilfordi (Lilford's wall lizard), 79 nucleotides. NCBI's taxonomy places the organism in Eukaryota, Metazoa, Chordata, Lepidosauria, Squamata, Lacertidae. The record is from the annotation of a GenBank genome assembly.
GCUCAGGUAGUAUACGGUCAGUGCACACGAUAUGAAACUCUUAAUCUCAGGGUUGUGGGUUCGAGCUCCACAUUGGGCG